ACUCAGCUGCGAAGCCCAGGCGCCACGGAUCGUUCAUUUCGCCCAACGGCGGCGGGAGCUGCUCGGGUGUAGAAGUUGUGAGGGAGCUGUUGCUCUCUCUCUCUCUCUCUCUCUCUCUUUUUUUUGUCUGCGCGUUAUUCCGCUCAGAAGGACGUUUAACCCAGGUCAAUAUAUAUAUAGGCCAUCUAUACGGGAGCACAAGUCGUUAGAAGCAGGAAAUCUUCUAAUAAGGGUAGGUAAAAUAACUUCCCCCGUUAAGGAGCGUCUGUGCUCUUUGCAAGCAUCCGGCGUGGGCAAAACCGUGGUAGAUCAGCUCAACAGCCGCUGGAAAACUUGGCCAAAAGCAUACAGUGUCGCUUUGUUUUGGGGUUGAAAAGGAUCCCCACCUGCACGCAUGCAGGUACGCACCCAUGCACGCUUUUACGGGCUGGGGAUGGAGGUUAGCUCAAAAAUAAAACGGAUGACCUGACUCCUUUAUCGGGGUGGCAGAAAAGUAGGCAGUUUCUAGAGAGUGAAUGGGCGGUGCAAUCAAUUUUUCACAUAGGUGUUGCUUUCCCUUUUAGAAGAGGUCAAAAACGUCAAGAUGGCAGCCACUGUCAUGGUUGAAGCGCCACUCCGUUGAAGCGCCACCACCUUAAUCACGUGAGGCAGUGGUUAAAAUACAGCAUUGUAGGCAGUGAAAGAUUUUCACUAAGGUCAUUUUGGUGAAGACUAGGGUAUUUUGUGGGCAAACAGUUAACUCGUGUAAAACCUGUAACAACUUGUAUCUUAACAUGUCCUAGCAACACCACUUUUCUGGGCUUUACUCACAAUGUUGACACAGUGGUUAGAAUGCAGUAUUGCAGGCGAAUUCUGCUGACUGCCGACUGCCAGCAAUUCGGCUGUUCAAUCCUCACUGGCUCAUGGUUGACUCAGCUUUCCAUCCUUCCAAGCAUAAAGUGACAAAAGGAACGGAGGGUUAUUGCACAUGUCUGGAUAUUCAGACAGGCAAGAAGACAUUUCUUUUGAAUAUUUGCUGAGAAUCUUGACAACAGAAAGAAAACUGUGCACUAAUUCUGCUAAAUGUGAGAGAAACAAGAAGGCCAAUCAUUAAGUUCAUUGAAGAAGAGUUUGAUUUUAAAAAGCCAGUUACCAAAUCAUCCAUGGAGCCAAGUUGAUAAAAGAAGUGCUUGUUCUUCAGUGAAAGGAUGGACGAUAUUGGAUCCUCCCCCAUUCACUAGUCAUCAUUGUCGAAAAGCUAUUAGCACAGGAAUAAAGACCUCAAGUAAGGUCUUUCCUCUUCCCAUAAGCAUUUGCUGAAGCUAAUGCAAUUACCUUUUCCUGAGGAAAUGCUAUUUGAACACUUGCUUUGAAGCAGUUCCUCUCUGGAUCAAGAAGUUAUAACUGGCUAUGAGCUCAAGUUUUGGCUGCAUCCCAGGGACAUCACCUGAUCUGCACCAGCUCUUGGCUUGGAAGAGGACUCCAAAGAACAGCAGGAACCAGUGCAGAGGACAAUAUGGAGACUGUUGUGGUGCAGGGAGGAUUGCAAUUCAAUGCAAUGCAGUUCCCCUUUUGGCUCAAUAUAGUGAGGAUUGUGGGUCUGGUAGACGCUUCUUCCUGGAUCCCUGCGCAAACUCCAUCACUCCUUGGAAUUCCUCCAAACUGAUGUUGAUUUCUGGCUGGGGCUGCAGCAAGCUGCUUGGCUCUUCUGGUGGCUAAUUGGAGUCUGCUUCGUGCUGGCAUCUGCUGACGGGUGGACAUCAGACUUGGGCAACAUCCAUCAUCAUGGACCAUCCUGUCUUAUGGUAAUGAGAAUUGUAGUUUGCAGUAGCUGGAAGAAGCCAGAUUGCAAAAGUCUGGUUCAUUUUGUUUGAUUGGGUCUUUUAAAAGGCAUUAAAAUAUAACAAAAGAACAUAGUCUUCCAAAUAAGACUUUUGAUCUGUGGUUCUCUUUCUCUGCAGCCAGUUCCAAUCAGGGUUGAUAGGUGGGGAAAGGCACAACCUGAAGUUUGUGGGGUGACUUUCUUAAGUUCUUGUUUUGUAUGUCCAUAAAGCCACUUAAUGAAGCUAUCUAUCAAUAUAUGGUCAAGUAUCAUCAAUAUGUUGAUACCUAGCUAUGUAUCUCAACAUCUGGUUAACCAAGUGAUUUGUUGAGAUCUUUUCUCAAUACCCAGAGAUUAUUUGAUUUUCAAUGGUUUCAUUUUUUAUUUUACAUUAUUUUAUGCAGAUACGUUUGAAAAAUGUAUUAAUAAAAAUAUAUGGUUUAAAAAAAA
Long non-coding RNA from Crotalus tigris (Tiger rattlesnake), 2251 nucleotides. RefSeq lists it as uncharacterized. The record is from RefSeq and is a predicted model, not a curated record. NCBI's taxonomy places the organism in Eukaryota, Metazoa, Chordata, Lepidosauria, Squamata, Viperidae. The transcript is spliced from 4 exons.